This 301-nucleotide ribosomal RNA is filed under the name uncultured bacterium. RNAcentral describes it as "partial 16S ribosomal RNA". It matches the Rfam family "Bacterial small subunit ribosomal RNA", at positions 509 to 807 of the family's 1533-position model. The record is from RNAcentral.
CAGCCGCCGCGGGAAUACGAGGGGGGCAAGCGUUGUUCGGAAUUAUUGGGCGUAAAGGGCGCGUAGGCGGUUUGGCAAGUUUCGUGUGAAAUCUUCGGGCUCAACUCGAAGUCUGCACGGAAAACUGCCGGGCUUGAGUAUGGGAGAGGUGAGUGGAAUUUCCGGUGUAGCGGUGAAAUGCGUAGAUAUCGGAAGGAACACCUGUGGCGAAAGCGGCUCACUGGACCAUUACUGACGCUGAGGCGCGAAAGCUAGGGGAGCAAACAGGAUUAGAUACCCCUGUAGUCCCUGUCUCUUAUAC